RNAcentral lists this ribosomal RNA (511 nucleotides) under Listeria monocytogenes. RNAcentral's name for it is "partial 23S ribosomal RNA". It matches the Rfam family "Bacterial large subunit ribosomal RNA", at positions 1239 to 1748 of the family's 2925-position model. The record is from RNAcentral. Lineage: Bacteria; Bacillati; Bacillota; Bacilli; Caryophanales; Listeriaceae.
UUCUAAGGGCGGUGAAGUCAGACCGGAAGGACUGGUGGAGCGCUUAGAAGUGAGAAUGCCGGUAUGAGUAGCGAAAGAAGGGUGAGAAUCCCUUCCACCGAAUAUCUAAGGUUUCCUGAGGAAGGCUCGUCCGCUCAGGGUUAGUCGGGACCUAAGCCGAGGCCGAUAGGCGUAGGCGAUGGACAACAGGUAGAGAUUCCUGUACCAGUGCUAAUUGUUUAACCGAUGGGGUGACACAGAAGGAUAGGGAAUCGCACGAAUGGAAAUGUGCGUCCAAGCAGUGAGUGUGAGAAGUAGGCAAAUCCGCUUCUCGCGAAGCAUGAGCUGUGAUGGGGAAGGAAAUUAAGUACGGAAGUUCCUGAUUUCACGCUGUCAAGAAAAGCCUCUAGGAAGAGUAGUACUGCCCGUACCGCAAACCGACACAGGUAGAUGAGGAGAGAAUCCUAAGGUGAGCGAGAGAACUCUCGUUAAGGAACUCGGCAAAAUGACCCCGUAACUUCGGGAGAAGGGG